Molecule: unclassified non-coding RNA, 432 nt
Filed under: Hevea brasiliensis (rubber tree)
Lineage: Eukaryota; Viridiplantae; Streptophyta; Magnoliopsida; Malpighiales; Euphorbiaceae
Source: RNAcentral
UGUUUUUGGUGCCCUCAAGGGAGCCUUGGAUGGUGGAUUGGACAUUCCUCACAGCGACAAGAGGUUUGCUGGUUAUUCCAAGGAGGGUAAGCAGCUUGAUGCUGAAGUUCAUCGAAAGUACAUUUUUGGUGGACAUGUUGCUGCCUACAUGCGUACCUUGAUGGAAGACGAGCCGGAGAAAUAUCAAUCUCACUUCAGCGAAUACAUCAAGAGGGGCAUUGAGGCCGAUGACAUCGAGGGUCUAUACAAGAAAGUUCAUGCAGCCAUUCGUGCAGACCCAUCAGUGAAGAAAUCUGACAAACCACAACCUAAGGCACACAAGAGGUACAACUUGAAGAAGCUGACAUACGAUGAAAGAAAAGCCCGCUUGGUUGAGCGUUUGAAUGCACUUAACUCUGCAGCCGACGCUGACGAUGAUGAUGAGGAUGACGA